CACACACACACACACACACACACACACACACACACUGAGGUGGAAAAAGCUCUUGAGUGGGUCACGCCAGAGUGCCCCUGCUUUUUCCAGCAACAUGUGAACGGGUUUGUAGGGAGCUGGCAGGUGAGUGAUGAGGCCCAUGGUAUCAGCGACCCUCUAGCCCGGGCAGGCAGAUCAGAGACUCUACCGCUUCAGUGGAGGGCCACAGUGAGUGGCUGAUUAAAGGACUCCCAAGCAGAGAGAUUGGAGGUGUGUGAAUGAAGGUCAACAACACAGGACCACACGGAACAUGCCUGCAUACACACACCAGACCUGGGUCAAAUACACUGUACAUAACCUAGAUUAUGUCAAAUAUGUUCAAAUAUUUGAAAUGCACUUGAUAUGGUUUGCCUGGAACAACGGAACCAAUGGAGUAGUCCUAAAAAUGCAAAUUCCAAACUAAAUCCAUCUAAUACUAAAUAAUAUACUUUUAAACUAUUUCUCAAACAAUCACAUGUAUUUUAUUAAGCCCUUUUCAGCAGUUGUCACAAAGUGCUUUACGGAUACCCAGCAUAAAAACCCCAGAGAGAAAGCUAUGCAGAUAGUAGCCCCUGCUUCAUUAUCUUUUUCUUCUCCCUGUCCUCGUCCCCCCCUCCUCUCUCCCUUUCUCCUCUCACCUUUUUCUCUACCUCCUCCCCCCCUCUCUUAGUACGGCCCCUUCCACCUGACAGAGGAUGCUCCUUUGGGAGCCACGAUAACGGCGGUGUUGGCAUGUGAUGCUGAUGAGAGGGGAGGAGACAGCUGGCAGGUGAGUUACAGGCUGGAGUCUGGCAAUGAGGAGGUGUUCACACCGGUCACAGACAAGCAGACCAAUGAGGUUUCACUCAUCCUCUCCAAGGUGCUGGACUUCAAGAGGGAGAGCGAGUACAUCCUGCUCCUUAGUGCUGAAUAUCCGGUGGCCCUGGUCUGAGGGAGGUAUGGGUCAGCAUUCACGGCAACCGUCUCCAUCUAUGUGGACGAUGUCAACGAGGGCCCCAUCCUGUCCCAGAACCACUAUGAGGUCACCGUCAGAGAGGGGGAGGAGCCAGGACGGGUUAUUGUCACUAUUCUUGGAUAUGACCCAGACUCACACCCAAUCAGGGAACUCUUCUCUGUCCUCCUCCACCCUGGUGAUAGUCCAUGUCCUGGAUGUGAACGACAACAGUCCUGUUUUGGUGGGGGACUACUCCUGGAAAUACCUGUGUACCCCUCGCUGGGAGGACCAGGCCUUGGUGCUGGCAUCCCGGGGACGGCGAUGGUCCCCAGGCUCAACUUGGCAGGCUCAACUUGUCCCUCUGCAGUGACGCCACCGUGCGCGGCAACUGUAAACUCACCACCAUCAAUGGUCUGCCUCAUCAUCCAUCUUCUGUAAUUUUUCACUAAGACAUUUUUUAUUUUACCUCGAAGCGAGCAUAAAAGGCAUUUAGCUCGUCCGGUAAGCUCGGGUCACAGGCCAGCUCGUGUCUAUGUUUCCCUUUGUCGUUCGUAAUAGUUGCCACAUCCAACGAGCAUCAAAGCCGGUGUAGUGGGAUUCAAUCUUAAUCCUGUAUUGACGUAUUGCUUGUUUGAUGGUUCGUCUGAGGGCAUAGUGGGAUUUCUUAUAAGCGUCCGGAUUGGUGUCCCACUCCUUGAUAUCGGCAGCUCUAGACUUUAGCUCGAUGCGGAUGUUGUCUGUAAUCAAUGGCUUCUGGUCGGGAUAUGUACGUACGUUCACUGUGGGGACGUCU
Non-coding RNA from Oncorhynchus mykiss (rainbow trout), 1745 nucleotides. Lineage: Eukaryota; Metazoa; Chordata; Actinopteri; Salmoniformes; Salmonidae. The record is from RefSeq and is a predicted model, not a curated record.